Molecule: long non-coding RNA, 1648 nt
Organism: Phyllostomus hastatus (greater spear-nosed bat)
Lineage: Eukaryota; Metazoa; Chordata; Mammalia; Chiroptera; Phyllostomidae
Exons: 3
Source: RefSeq, a predicted model, not a curated record
UCAACUACAGGGCAUCAGUUACAGGAAAGACUUCCCAGAGUGCACUUAGUCUCCAGAGAGUUGGGCUUGAACCGGGCAAGCAGGAUGGACCGGGGGCAGUGGCCUGAGACUGAGAGCUGGCACCUGUGCUGAGUCAGCGUGCGUGAAGACGCUAAGGCAGGGCAGCACUGCUCCGCGCCAGUCCGGUGGCAGCAGGAGUUUUCAGGCAGGGCAGUGGCCCUGCUGGGGACAAUAUGCGGAAGUAGGACAGCAGGUCCCUGAAAGAGUUUUCUUUUCAGCUCUGGCUUCAGGUGAAGAAGAGGACAGCACCAGGAAUGCUGUCGUUUGUCUUGAUGCGUUAAAGGAGCAGAGCCCACAGAAGCACUCUGACCCAACUCAUGAACUGUGAGUGUCUAAUGAACUUUUCAGUUGCAAGAAUUGCUGUGAUGGAUAGACAUUUCAUGAAUCCUCUGCAAUCCCCCAGGCAUGACCUUGUGAUACCUACAGAGGUUCUUCAACCCGCUUAUUACUGAUCACACGGUUCGGUUGCAGGUUGCAGUGUGUCUAGUCUGAGCUGCCGGGGUCUUCAAUCUCAUCAGGAUUGUCACCUUCACUCUCCAUUGAUGGGAAAGGAAGGUCUAAAUUCACAUUUGUUGUGGAGGAAUUACUUCCUACUUGAGAUUCCUUCAAUUUUCAGAAGCAUGGACACCACGAUGCUUCCUGUUUAAUGACAUCAAAUAUACCUGUCGCAAGAUGAGUUUGGAAUGCUGCUACCCAACCGCUUUGUGUCCUGCAUCGUGUGGGCACUUCCACACCUUUAUGUGAAUGAAAGUAAGGCUAAGCUGCUGCAUCCAAACAGACACCCCCAUCCCCCCAAAAAUUCUUAGUGUCUUAAAGAAACAAAUAGACUUCUUGGUCAUGCACCAACCUGAGUGAGUAUUGCCAGUUGGUAAUUCUGCUGCAUGGUGAUUAUUCAGAAACCAGGCUAACGGUGGCUCAGCUACCUUCAAUAUCUGUCCCUUAGUAACAACCUAUACUCCAUUUAUGAGCUUCAUAGACCCAAAACUGGUCAUUUUAUUACCUUGUAAUUUAAAAUGUGACCCAUAAAUUGACUUAUCUCUUCAAUGUGUACAUUUGUCCCCUUUUUAAAAAAAUCAUGGCAUAGUGACUAUUUUUACAUGUCAUGUGUAGUGAACAAACUUGGUAAAACAUAGAGAAUUUUCUCUCUCUCUCUCUUUUUUUUAGUUGUAUUGAAGACCAAAUAAAUGAAUCCACGGGCUUGUUUUUUGUAUAUACGAUUCUUCUGUUCAAAAAAAGCUGAGGAUUGAUAGUAAAGGCCCAUGUUUUUUACAUCUAACUUGCAGUUAUGCUAAUGUGCCAAUGUCAGGCUGUGUUUUCUGUGGCAAGAAUUGAACUUCAAAAUAUAAACAAAGGAAUGAGUUCUUUUGUCCUCCAUUUUUGUGUAUGCUGGGUUUUCCUUGUGAACAAGAAUAAAGCCUUUUUUUCCCUCAUAAGUAGUGACUUAAAAUUGGUCAAAAAGAAAAAGUAAAAGGACAGCAAUGUGUUGGCAUAUGCCAGGAAAUGGCGGUGACUACUUUUAUUUUUAUAGUUCAUUGUGAAAGGCAUGUAACAGAAAAAGUUUGAGAGACUGCUAAGAAUAAAAUAUUUU